Molecule: small RNA, 127 nt
Filed under: Marmota monax (woodchuck)
Lineage: Eukaryota; Metazoa; Chordata; Mammalia; Rodentia; Sciuridae
Source: RNAcentral
GCUGGGUGCAGUGCUGCCCACCUAUAAUCCCAGUGGCUCAGGAGGCUGAGGCAGGAGGAUUGCAAGUUCAAAGCCAGCCUCAGCGAUUUAGUGAGGCCCUAAGCAAUUCAGUGAGACCCUGUCUCUA